AAAGAACUUACCUAUGUGGGGGAAGCUAACUCUAAAACCAUAAAAUGAAAAUAAUAGAACAAAUCAUGGAUGUCAAAUUGUCAAUGUCCAAACCCAAUCAUUUUAUGGUUUUAGAGUUAGCUUCCCCCACAUAGGUAAGUUCUUUUC
RNAcentral lists this microRNA precursor (147 nucleotides) under Arabidopsis halleri subsp. gemmifera. RNAcentral describes it as "pre miRNA MIR403". The record is from RNAcentral. Lineage: Eukaryota; Viridiplantae; Streptophyta; Magnoliopsida; Brassicales; Brassicaceae.